AUACGGAGGAUCCGAGCGUUAUCCGGAUUUAUUGGGUUUAAAGGGUGCGCAGGCGGCCAUUUAAGUCAGCGGUUAAAUCGUGGGGCUCAACCCCAUUCUGCCGUUGAUACUGGGUGGCUUGAUUGCGGUCGAGGUUGGCGGAAUUCGUUGUGUAGCGGUGAAAUGCAUAGAUAUGACGAAGAACACCGAUUGCGUAGGCAGCUGACCAGACCGCAAAUGACGCUCAUGCACGAAAGUGCGGGGAUCGAACAGGAUUAGAUACCCUGGUAGUCCGCACAGUAAACGAUGAUAACUCGCUGUCGGCGAUACAUAGUCGGUGGCCAAGCGAAAGCGAUAAGUUAUCCACCUGGGGAGUACGACCGCAAGGUUGAAACUUAAAGGAAUUGACGGGG
This 392-nucleotide ribosomal RNA is filed under the name uncultured bacterium. RNAcentral's name for it is "partial 16S ribosomal RNA". It matches the Rfam family "Bacterial small subunit ribosomal RNA", at positions 523 to 918 of the family's 1533-position model. The record is from RNAcentral.